AAAGGUAACGUCUUACCGGGCCUCAGAAUGGCCGGAUUUAACGUACCAGAGAAUAGUCAGAAGACUUGCUGAGGUUGGGGACACAGAAUGAGACACAACAAUGAGGAAAAGCCAAAAGUCAAGGAUACCAGAAUACAGGGAAGUCAAACGAAGCCAAAGUCAAUAACCAGAAAUAAACGCUCAGGAACACACUCUCAGAUAAUAUACUAAGGGAAACCACAACAGGGCAAUGAGGAAAA
Non-coding RNA from Pelobates cultripes (western spadefoot toad), 239 nucleotides. The record is from the annotation of a GenBank genome assembly. Lineage: Eukaryota; Metazoa; Chordata; Amphibia; Anura; Pelobatidae.